RNAcentral lists this ribosomal RNA (217 nucleotides) under Staphylococcus pseudintermedius. RNAcentral describes it as "partial 16S ribosomal RNA". It matches the Rfam family "Bacterial small subunit ribosomal RNA", at positions 1 to 211 of the family's 1533-position model. The record is from RNAcentral. Lineage: Bacteria; Bacillati; Bacillota; Bacilli; Caryophanales; Staphylococcaceae.
UUUAUGGAGAGUUUGAUCCUGGCUCAGGAUGAACGCUGGCGGCGUGCCUAAUACAUGCAAGUCGAGCGAACAGAUAAGGAGCUUGCUCUUUUGACGUUAGCGGCGGACGGGUGAGUAACACGUGGGUAACCUACCUAUAAGACUGGAAUAACUCCGGGAAACCGGGGCUAAUGCCGGAUAACAUGUUGAACCGCAUGGUUCUAUAGUGAAAGACGGU